RNAcentral lists this ribosomal RNA (539 nucleotides) under uncultured bacterium. RNAcentral's name for it is "bacterial SSU rRNA". It matches the Rfam family "Bacterial small subunit ribosomal RNA", at positions 8 to 526 of the family's 1533-position model. The record is from RNAcentral.
AGAGUUUGAUCCUGGCUCAGAAUCAACGCUGGCGGCGUGCCUCAGACAUGCAAGUCGAACGCGAAAGUCCCCUUCGGGGGGCAAGUAGAGUGGCGCACGGGUGAGUAACACGUAGGUAAUCUACCUUUGGAUUGGGAAUAACCACCGGAAACGGUGGCUAAUACCGAAUAAUGCAGCGGCACCUAAUGGUGACAGUUGUUAAAGCGGGGGAUCGCAAGACCUCGCGUCUGAAGAGGAGCCUGCGGCGGAUUAGCUAGUUGGUAAGGUAACGGCUUACCAAGGCGAUGAUCCGUAGCCGGCCUGAGAGGGCGGUCGGCCACACUGACACUGACAUACGGGUCAGACUCCUACGGGAGGCAGCAGUCGGGAAUUUUGGGCAAUGGGCGAAAGCCUGACCCAGCAACGCCGCGUGAAGGAUGAAAUCCCUCGGGAUGUAAACUUCGCAAGAACGGGAAGAAUAAGUAAGAGUUAAUAUCUCUUAUGAUGACGGUACUGUUUGUAAGCUCCGGCUAACUCCGUGCCAGCCGCCGCGGUAAUAC